AAUCAACGCUGGCGGCGUGCCUAACACAUGCAAGUCGAACGCGAAAGCGUCUUCGGACGUGAGUAGAGUGGCGUCCGGGUGAGUAACACGUAGGUAAUCUACCUUCGGGUGGGGAAUAACGCCUCGAAGAGGCGCUAAUACCGCAUAACGCAGCGGCAGCUAAUGCUGAUUAGUUGUUAAAGCGGGGGACCGGAGAGAUC
RNAcentral lists this ribosomal RNA (200 nucleotides) under uncultured bacterium. Its description in RNAcentral is "partial 16S ribosomal RNA". It matches the Rfam family "Bacterial small subunit ribosomal RNA", at positions 32 to 214 of the family's 1533-position model. The record is from RNAcentral.